GCCGGGAUAGCUCAGUCGGUAGAGCAGAGGAC
This 32-nucleotide transfer RNA is filed under the name Heterocladium flaccidum. RNAcentral describes it as "partial tRNA-Phe". Lineage: Eukaryota; Viridiplantae; Streptophyta; Bryopsida; Hypnales; Pterigynandraceae. The record is from RNAcentral.